GGAGCUUGCUCCACCGAAAGAAAAGGAGUGGCGAACGGGUGAGUAACACGUGGGUAACCUGCCCAUCAGAAGGGGAUAACACUUGGAAACAGGUGCUAAUACCGUAUAACAAUCGAAACCGCAUGGUUUCGGUUUGAAAGGCGCUUUUGCGUCACUGAUGGAUGGACCCGCGGUGCAUUAGCUAGUUGGUGAGGUAACGGCUCACCAAGGCAACGAUGCAUAGCCGACCUGAGAGGGUGAUCGGCCACAUUGGGACUGAGACACGGCCCAAACUCCUACGGGAGGCAGCAGUAGGGAAUCUUCGGCAAUGGACGCAAGUCUGACCGAGCAACGCCGCGUGAGUGAAGAAGGUUUUCGGAUCGUAAAACUCUGUUGUUAGAGAAGAACAAGGAUGAGAGUAGAAUGUUCAUCCCUUGACGGUAUCUAACCAGAAAGCCACGGCUAACUACGUGCCAGCAGCCGCGGUAAUACGUAGGUGGCAAGCGUUGUCCGGAUUUAUUGGGCGUAAAGCGAGCGCAGGCGGUUUCUUAAGUCUGAUGUGAAAGCCCCCGGCUCAACCGGGGAGGGUCAUUGGAAACUGGGAAACUUGAGUGCAGAAGAGGAGAGUGGAAUUCCAUGUGUAGCGGUGAAAUGCGUAGAUAUAUGGAGGAACACCAGUGGCGAAGGCGGCUCUCUG
RNAcentral lists this ribosomal RNA (676 nucleotides) under uncultured Bacilli bacterium. RNAcentral describes it as "bacterial SSU rRNA". It matches the Rfam family "Bacterial small subunit ribosomal RNA", at positions 75 to 731 of the family's 1533-position model. The record is from RNAcentral. Lineage: Bacteria; Bacillati; Bacillota; Bacilli.